GCACCUGUUCGAGACCUGCGCUGACCAAAACUCCAGACAGAGAAGAUUAGCAUGGCCCCUGCACUAAGGAUGACACGCUAUUCAAAGAGAAGCUACCAAUUUUU
Molecule: small nuclear RNA, 104 nt
Filed under: Ophiocordyceps sinensis
Lineage: Eukaryota; Fungi; Ascomycota; Sordariomycetes; Hypocreales; Ophiocordycipitaceae
Also listed under: 1 other name
Source: RNAcentral